GACAGAGGGUGCAAACGUUGCUCGGAAUUACUGGGCGUAAAGCGCGUGUAGGCGGACCAACAAGUCAGGCGUGAAAUCCCUGGGCUCAACCCAGGAACUGCACCUGAAACUGUCGGUCUUGAGUGGUGGAGAGGGAAGCAGAAUUCCUGGUGUAGAGGUGAAAUGCGCAGAUAUCAGGAGGAACACCGGUGGCGAAGGCGGGUCUCUGGGCCGAUACUGACGCUGAGGAGCGAAAGCGUGGGGAGCGAACAGG
RNAcentral lists this ribosomal RNA (253 nucleotides) under uncultured bacterium. Its description in RNAcentral is "partial 16S ribosomal RNA". It matches the Rfam family "Bacterial small subunit ribosomal RNA", at positions 524 to 776 of the family's 1533-position model. The record is from RNAcentral.